Scophthalmus maximus (turbot) is the source of this 7099-nucleotide RNA transcript. It is a transcript of the gene named polycomb group RING finger protein 5-A, with no coding region annotated. The record is from RefSeq and is a predicted model, not a curated record. NCBI's taxonomy places the organism in Eukaryota, Metazoa, Chordata, Actinopteri, Pleuronectiformes, Scophthalmidae. The transcript has 2 exons.
CAAAAUGAGGAUGUAAGAUGCAACGUUUAAUCUGAAUGAUUUUUUAUUUAGGAAUGUGGGAAGAAACUGGAGCGUCGCAGUGAAAACACAAACAUAUGUGACAGGAGAACAUGCAGCGUCAUGGAGAGAAGAAGCUCCUGCUUUUGAAAUAUAGAACUAUCCAGAGUCACUUCACGUUAAGUCGAAAAUGAAGAGUUUAUGAUGAAACUUUUUAUCCGAUUGUUUUUUUUUCCUGAAUUUUUUAUUUCGGAAAGUGUGAGGAAACUGGAGCUUGAUUUCAUCUUAUAGUGAUUGUGGAUAGUUCUAUUUUUGACAGCAGGGCGGUCGAUGGCUGAAAGCGGGGGGGGGGGGGGGGGGGUUAGGGAGAGUGAGCGGAGAGGGGAGACUGAUGGAGCAGGAGGACAGGGGAUGCGAUAGAUCCAGACUCGGUACCCCCAGUUCUUUUAAAGACCUGGAGGAAUCGUCUCCUCAAGGACUUCUUCUCUGGUUUGCUCUGCAGCUUCUUCAUCCUAUUUUCAAGACUCAUUAUUGUCUCCAUCAGUUCUUCUCUGCACUUGUCUGUCUCCUCCUCCGUGGUCUCCAGAACUUCUUUGAAGGCGCUGAGAGACUCCUCAAGAGCGGACGUUUCGCUCUGCCACCGCUGUCUUUCCCUCCGUCCUUCUUCCUGCGACUGGAGCAGUGUUGCCUCGAGGCCGGAGAUUUCCUGGGUUUGCUCAGCCAGGAGACGGGACUUGUCCUGCUUCCACUGGCAUCUUGACUUUUCCAGGUUGUCCAGGGCCUGGGCCAGUGCAGUCUUGAAUUUGGACGUCUCCUCAAUCUCUCUGGCUAGGCGUGUCUCUUCCUCCGUUGCUGCUUGUCUUCCAGCUUGAACAGCUUUCUCGAGUUCACAGACCUGUAGGGUAGCAUCCAGCUCCAACUUGGUCACUGAGGACACUUGAGCAAUGAGGUACUCUUUAUCCUCAUUGAUAUCCUUGAUUUCACUCCUCAGAUUCUCUGUCUGUUUGAGUAUGUCACAGUUUUCUUGUACCAGAACGCAGAGCCACUUCUCCUUGUCCUGCAGGAGGCGAUGCAACUCUCCUUCCUGUAAUGUGAGGAGGGCCUGUUUGAUCACAUCAGUGUCUGUACCAGGCACAGGCACAAGCGAAUACAAAGGCACAGACAAAGGCAACGGCAAUGGCAACGGCAACGGCAACGGCACAGAUGCAGACGUAGCUGUCUCUGUCGCUAUCUGUGUCGCUAUCUCUGGUGUAGACUGGUCUGGAGCUGCCUGUGUUCCAGUGGACUGAGAAGUCAAUGCAGCUUCCCCUGGAGAUCCUGCCUCCCUCCUCGGGACAGCCUGGUCUUGAACUGUCUCUGCAGGCUCUUGUCUCAGGACUGUCUGGUCUUCAGUCGUCUCUGCCAAGUGUGUUACAGUUGACAGAUGAGGCUGCACACCUUCCUCCGUUUCCAGAGACGAUGUAGAUGGAGUCAAAGACUCAACCUUCCCCUUUGUUUUCUCUGCAGACUGGUCUUUGGUUCUCACUUUAGAUCUUCUAAACAUGAAGUUGACCAAAAAGUUUGAAGACUUUUUGGGUUUAGUCUUCUGUCCCUCACUUUUGUCAUGUUUUAAUAUUGCACUCAGAGGUGGAAGGAUAUCCUUGCCUUCGAGCACCAUGCAGGGUUUACCCUCUUCAGGAAGAUUUGUUGUCUCAGAAUCAUUGAGAGUUGUUGUCUCCAACUCAUUGAGAGUUGUUGUCUCCAUAUCGUUGAGAGUUGUUGUCUCCAUAUUGUUGAGAAUUGUUGUCUCCAUAUCCUUGAGAGUUGUUGUCUCCAUAUCCUUGAGAGUUGUUGUCUCCAUAUCCUUGAGAGUUGUUGUCUCCAUAUUGUUGAGAAUUGUUGUCUCCAUAUCCUUGAGAGUUGUUGUCUCCAUAUCCUUGAGAGUUGUUGUCUCUGAAUCGUUGAGAGUUGUUGUCUCCAUAUUGUUGAAAGUUGAUGUCUCUGAAUCGUUGAGAGUUGUUGUCUCAGAAUCGCUGAGAGUUGUUGUCUCUGAAUCGUUGAGAGUUGUUGUCUCUGAAUCGUUGAGAGUUGUUGUCUCAGAAUCGCUGAGAGUUGUUGUCUCCAUAUUGUUAAGAGUUGUUGUCUCCAUAUCCUUGAGAGUUGUUGUCUCCAUAUCCUUGAGAGUUGUUGUCUCUGAAUCGUUGAGAGUUGUUGUCUCAGAAUCGCUGAGAGUUGUUGUCUCUGAAUCAUUGAGAGUUGUUGUCUCAGAAUCGCUGAGAGUUGUUGUCUCCAUAUUGUUAAGAGUUGUUGUCUCACAAACAUUAAGAAUUGUUCUCUCUGAAUCAUUGAGAGUUGCUACAUCUCCUGCCUGGAGGUUUUGCUUGCUCCCGGUAUGCUUGAAGUAUGUGAAGCCCUUCCACCAAGAAUUUCCCUUUGGCUUCACUUUGCUUCUGUCCAGGUCCAGAUUUCUCUUCUCACCUGUUCUCUCGAGGUCCAGAUUUCUAUUCUCAAUUGUUCUGUCCAUGUCCAGAUUUCUCUUCUCACCUGUUGUUUCCAGGUCCAGAUUUCUCUUCUCACCUGUUCUCUCGAGGUCCAGAUUUCUCUUCUCACCUGUUCUUUCCAGGUCCAGAUUUCUAUUCUCAAUUGUUCUGUCCAUGUCCAGAUUUCUCUUCUCACCUGUUGUUUCCAGGUCCAGAUUUCUCUUCUCACCUGUUCUCUCGAGGUCCAGAUUUCUCUUCUCACCUGUUCUCUCGAGGUCCAGAUUUCUAUUCUCAAUUGUUCUGUCCAUGUCCAGAUUUCUCUUCUCACCUGUUGUUUCCAGGUCCAGAUUUCUCUUCUCACCUGUUCUCUCGAGGUCCAGAUUUCUCUUCUCACCUGUUCUUUCCAGGUCCAGAUUUCUCUUCUCACCUGUUCUCUCGAAGUCCAGAUUUCUCUUCUCACCUGUUCUCCCGAGGUCCAGAUUUCUCUUCUCAACGGUUCUGUCCAUGUCCAGAUUUCUCUUCUCACCUGUUCUUUCCAGGUCCAGAUUUCUCUUCUCACCUGUUCUCUCGAAGUCCAGAUUUCUCUUCUCACCUCUUCUGUCGAGGUCCAGAUUUCUCUUCUUAACGGUUCUGUCCAGGUCCAGAUUUCUCUUCUCACCUGUUCUGUCCAGGUCCAGAUUUCUCUUCUCGCCUGCUCUGUCAAUGUCUGUUUCUGUUAGAGAUUUCUUCCUGUUAAAAGGGAGUUUUUUCUCCUCCACAGUCUCAGAGCUGCUCAUUGUGGGAACUUUUGGGUUAUCUGUGUAAUAUCGUGGGGCCUCAGCCUCACUGUGUAAAGUGCCUUGAGAUGAUGUGUGUUGUGAUUUGGCGCUAUACAAAUAAAAUUGAAUUGGAUUGAAUUGAAUUGAACCUGCUCUGUCCAAGUCCAGAUUUACCUUCUCAUCUGUUGUUGUGUUCAUGUCCACAUUUCCCUUCUCAUCUGUUCUGUCCAUAUCCAGAUUUCCCUUCUCAUCUGUUGUUGUGUUCAUAUCCACAUUUCUCUUCUCAACUGUUGUUGUGUUCAUGUCCAGAUUUCUCUUCUCAACUGUUGUUGUGUUCAUGUCCAGAUUUCUCUUCUCAACUGUUGUUGUGUUCAUGUCCAGAUUUCUCUUCUCAACUGUUGUUGUGUUCAUGUCCAGAUUUCUCUUCUCAACUGUUGUUGUGUUCAUGUCCAGAUUUCUCCCGCCACCUGUUCUGUCUGGUUCUGAAAGAGAUUUCUUCCUGUUAAAAGGGAGUUUUUUCUCCUCCACAGUCUCAGAGCUGCUCAUUGUGGGAACUUUUGGGUUAUCUGUGUAAUAUCGUGGGGCCUCGACCUCACUGUGUAAAGUGCCUUGAGAUGAUGUGUGUUGUGAUUUGGCGCUAUACAAAUAAAAUUGGAUUGAAUUGAAUUGAAUUGAACCUGCUCUGUCCAAGUCCAGAUUUACCUUCUCAUCUGUUAUUGUGUUCAUGUCCACAUUUCUCUUCUCAUCUGUUCUGUCCAUGUCCAGAUUUCUCUUCUCAUCUGUUCUGUUCCUGUCCAGAUUUCUCUUCUCAUCUCUUCUGUCCAUAUCCAGAUUUCUCUUCUCAUCUGUUCUGUUCAUGUCCAGAUUUCUCUUCUCAUCUGUUCUCUCCAUGUCCAGAUUUCCCUUCUCAACUGUUGUUGUUUUCAUGUCCACAUUUCUCUUCUCAUCUGUUCUGUCCAUAUCCAGAUUUCUCUUCUCAUCUGUUCUGUCCAUGUCCAGAUUUCCCUUCUCAUCUGUUCUGUCCCUGUCCAGAUUUCCCUUCUCAACUAUUAUUGUGUUCAUGUCCAGAUUUCUCUUCUCAUCUGUUCUGUCCAUGUCCAGAUUUCUCUUCUCAUCUGUUCUGUCCAUGUCCAGAUUUCUCCCGCCACCUGUUCUGUCUGGUUCUGUAAGAGAUUUCUUCCUGUUAAAAAGGAUUUUUUUCUCUUUCACAGUCUCAGAGCUGCUCAUUGUGGGAACUUUUGGGUUAUCUGUGUAAUAUCGUGGGGCCUCGACCUCACUGUGUAAAGUACCUUGAGAUGUUGUUUGUUGUGAUUUGGCGCUAUACAAAUAAAAUUGGAUUGAAUUGAAUUGAACCUGCUCUGUCCAAGUCCAGAUUCCUCUACUUCAGUGUUCUUGCUAAAAUAUCUUGUGCAAAAUAUUAAACGUCAGUGUGACUUGUUGUAGACCUUUACAUCAAAGUUUCAUGAAAGGAAUGAUCACUGAGCAAAGUCACAGGGAAUGAUGUCAUCACACUUCAAAGCCACGGGGAAUGAUGUCAUCACACUUCAAAGCCACGGGGGAUGAUGUCAUCACACUUCAAAGCGACGGGGGAUGAUGUCAUCACACAUACAGGUAUUCUACUGUAUUUUGACCCCCUUUUUAACUAAUAGAGUUUUUCAUACCGUCUCUUUGCAACAUACAGCGAACUGCACAAGGGGAAUGUUUGGCUCAGUAUUCCACCUGGUAUAAAACAAAUUAAAGACUUCAUCAACACCAAGAUAUGGACCAGAUUUGAUCCACAUAAGAUUCUUUAAUGUAGAAAACAAUGUGAAAUAUUUGUCUCUUACAACAGUAGACUAAAAUUGUUGAGUGACCUGCUUCCAGAGCAGGUUCACUUCCACACACCAAUGGUUUUUUUGUUUUUUUAUUCAGUCACAAUCAUAAAAACAAUCAUUUUAAACAUAUCACAAUGUGAACUCAAACAGCAAAUAGUGACUGAACAGGCUUAGGCUGAAGCAAAAGCUUAUAUGUGCCUAUCCUACUUUCUUGUCCAUUUAAUCUAACCACCUCAAAGAAAAAGAAAAUAAAGAAACCAAAAUAUAAGUAUAGAAACAAGGAAAUAAAUUAUUCACAUUUAUAACCCUCAAAAAUAGCAUUACAAACCAUUUUCUUGAAAACAAAAAGAGUUGCACAUUUUUAUAUUUAAAUUGGCAUUGUUCCAUACUUUAACCCCCACAAAAGAAAUACAUAUCCUUUUAAUCUCUUUGUUUGCUUUUUGAAAAGUAAAUUUAAAAAUACCUCUGAAAUCUUACUUACUUUCCCAUAUUGAACCAAACUUUUGGACACAGUCUGGAAAGUUCCACAAAGUAAGAUAUAAGGAAGAAAGAGUGAACAAUAAAUAAUAUGCAAAGCUUUAAAAUUCAAUACUUCCCUAGAUUAAUACAGGAUUGCUAUUGUCUUUGAUAGUUUUCCUUUCAUAUAGUCUGUAUGUCUGUAAGAAACACAAACGUCUGAGUCGUGAUAGUUAGUGUCAGAAACUACGUGGAGAUAUAGAUACAUAUUCAAAAUCAAUUCUUCUAACAUCAUUUAGCCAAUAGACAGACGGACAGAGAUAGAUAAAUGUACUUUAUUAAUUUCAAAACUCCAGUGUCACAGCAGCAGGUAUCAAGCUCACCUUACAAAUAUAUAAAAGAUAAGUAUAUAAGUAAAGUAUAUAUAAGAAAUCUAGUGUUAUAUAUUUAAUAUUCUUUACUACAUAGAAUAAAGUGUUGGUGUAUAUAGUUAAUUUUCUUUCCGUAGUGUGCUGUGAAUUGAAUAUAUACUACACUGAGACUAAAUGUAGCAUUUGUAUUUCCUACUUUAAUUAUAUAUAUAUUUAUAUUAUAUUUCAUAUGACACAUUUUGCUUGUUGAAUUGUCCGGUCACGUGUUGUUGUCUGUCCUCAGACCCCUCGGAAUGAAAACAGAGACAAUGUUCGUUUCAGGACGGACACACACCUGUGUGCGCGCGCGUGUGCGUGCGUUUGUGUGUGUGUGCGCGCGCACUCAGUUACACAACCGCUCUCGGUCUCGAGCCCUGCCUGCCUGGUGGCUCCCGCCCACCGCUGCGCUCCGCUGCUGGGCGGACUGGGGCAGAUCCGAGCGGACCAGUUCCGCGUUCUCUGCUCAUCCGCCGCACGGAGCCGGAGCGAGCGAGCGAGCGGCGGCGGCAGCGCGAGGACCCGGCGGCGUCAUGGUGGACGAGGCGCAGCGGGACUGAGGCCGGAGGUGAGCGGCGAGUCGGCGCUCGUCAUUACUGUCUGCGUGGAUUCAUCGGCGACGUGUGCGUCACGUUGCAGCCAAACUUUGACGCCGCUGCCUGGACCUCCCCCCCCCCCUCUCCUCCCCCCUCUCCCCCUCUCUCUCCUGAAAGUGCGUCGCCGUGCACGUUGACGUGCGGGAUUUUCACGGUGAUUCCACGCUCUGACACGACGUGUCGGACGCUCUGCGGCGAGGCGACUGCGCCGUAGUCGCCGUCGGCGUCAGUUGACCAAUCGAGCCUUCCUCCACUGAAAAUGGUGCUUCGGCUGAGACGGGGGAGCGAGCGAGACGUUUCACUCCGUCGGAUUUCUGGGAGUUUGAGCACCGUGUUCGGCGGAAGCGUUCGUUGGGACUGACGUGGCUCGGCGAAGACGGAGUAGCGUUGGGGGAAUGUUUCCCGAAGAGACACUGAUCACAGAUUAGACGUUGGGAACAAGGAUGGAGCAGGAUUUCACACAGGAGCAACAAUAAUCUCUCACGGAAACUGUGAACGGUGAAGAGACGAGACGCCGGACUCGACGUUUAGCCGGCGUCCGUUUCAAACUCUUCACGCGCACUUGGACUUGAAACUAGAAUCUCAGCGUCGCACCCGCGUGCGAACGUAAAC